AGCACUUUGAAGCAAAAUGAAAUACUGAAACACAAAAUACUAAAAGUGACAAAGAAGAAGAAUGGGUUUGAACAACUUUGACAAGAGACGAAAGCUCUGGUAUGUCCUCUGAACUUGAGAAACCCCCAUAGUCCAAAAAGAGUGUGUUUAAGCGCCUCGGCUG
Molecule: long non-coding RNA, 163 nt
Organism: Stegostoma tigrinum
Lineage: Eukaryota; Metazoa; Chordata; Chondrichthyes; Orectolobiformes; Stegostomatidae
Exons: 3
Source: RefSeq, a predicted model, not a curated record